RNAcentral lists this ribosomal RNA (372 nucleotides) under uncultured organism. Its description in RNAcentral is "partial 16S ribosomal RNA". It matches the Rfam family "Bacterial small subunit ribosomal RNA", at positions 527 to 896 of the family's 1533-position model. The record is from RNAcentral.
GUAGGUGGCAAGCGUUGUCCGGAAUUAUUGGGCGUAAAGCGCGCGCAGGCGGUUCUUUAAGUCUGAUGUGAAAGCCAACGGCUCAACCGUGGAGGGUCAUUGGAAACUGGAGAACUUGAGUACAGAAGAGGAAAGCGGAAUUCCACGUGUAGCGGUGAAAUGCGUAGAGAUGUGGAGGAACACCAGUGGCGAAGGCGGCUUUCUGGUCUGUAACUGACGCUGAGGCGCGAAAGCGUGGGGAGCAAACAGGAUUAGAUACCCUGGUAGUCCACGCCGUAAACGAUGAGUGCUAAGUGUUAGGGGGUUUCCGCCCCCCUUAGUGCUGCAGCUAACGCAUUAAGCACUCCGCCUGGGAGUACGGCCGCAAGGCUG